AAUUUUGGACAAUGGGGGAAACCCUGAUCCAGCCAUCCCGCGUGUAUGAUGAAGGCCUUCGGUUUGUAAAGUACUUUUGGCAGAGAAGAAAAGGUAUCUCCUAAUACGAGAUAAUGCUGACUGAAUCUGCAGAAUAAGCACCGGCGAACUACGUGACAUCAGCCGCGGUAAGACGUAGGGUGCAAGCGUUAAUCGGAAUUACUGGGCGUAAAGGCGGUGUAGGCGGUUCGGAAAGAAAGAUGUGAAAUCCCAGCGCUCAACCUUGGAACUGCAUUUUUAACUGCCGAGCUAGAGUAUGUCAGAGGGGGGUAGAAUUCCACGUGUAGCAGUGAAAUGCGUAGAUAUGUGGAGGAAUACCGAUGGCGAAGGCAGCCCCCUGGGAUAAUACUGACGCUCAGACACGAAAGCGUGGGGAGCAAACAGG
Molecule: ribosomal RNA, 424 nt
Filed under: uncultured bacterium
Lineage: Bacteria
Description: partial 16S ribosomal RNA
Rfam family: Bacterial small subunit ribosomal RNA
Source: RNAcentral